Molecule: ribosomal RNA, 463 nt
Filed under: uncultured Desulfobulbus sp.
Lineage: Bacteria; Pseudomonadati; Thermodesulfobacteriota; Desulfobulbia; Desulfobulbales; Desulfobulbaceae
Description: bacterial SSU rRNA
Rfam family: Bacterial small subunit ribosomal RNA
Source: RNAcentral
GCACAAGCGGUGGAGUAUGUGGUUUAAUUCGAUGCAACGCGAAGAACCUUACCUGGUCUUGACAUCCCGGAGACCCUUAGGAACUAGGGGUGCUUCCAUCUGGAAGAAUCUGGAGACAGGUGCUGCAUGGCUGUCGUCAGCUCGUGUCGUGAGAUGUUGGGUUAAGUCCCGCAACGAGUGCAACCCUUGCCUUUAGUUGCCAGCAGUUCGGCUGGGCACUCUAAAGGGACUGCCGGUGUUAAACCGGAGGAAGGUGGGGAUGACGUCAAGUCCUCAUGGCCUUUAUGACCAGGGCUACACACGUACUACAAUGGCCGAUACAAAGGGCAGCGACACUGCGAGGUGAAGCCAAUCCCGUAAAAUCGGUCUCAGUCCGGAUUGGAGUCUGCAACUCGACUCCAUGAAGUUGGAAUCGCUAGUAAUCGUGGAUCAGCAUGCCACGGUGAAUACGUUCCCGGGCCUU